ACAUCAUGGUCAGACCUUUAUGAUAGGUU
This 29-nucleotide small RNA is filed under the name Bombyx mori (domestic silkworm). RNAcentral describes it as "ovarian small RNA-11146". The record is from RNAcentral. Lineage: Eukaryota; Metazoa; Arthropoda; Insecta; Lepidoptera; Bombycidae.